This 73-nucleotide transfer RNA is filed under the name Candidatus Makaraimicrobium thalassicum. RNAcentral describes it as "tRNA-Thr". It matches the Rfam family "tRNA". From Rfam's summary of the family: Transfer RNA (tRNA) molecules are approximately 80 nucleotides in length. The record is from RNAcentral. Lineage: Bacteria; Pseudomonadati; Candidatus Omnitrophota.
GCCCCGGUAGCUCAACCGGCAGAGCGGUUGAUCUGUAAUCAAUUGGUUAAGGGUUCAAAUCCCUUCCGGGGCU